AGGAAUUAUAACUUAAUAGGUAGUCUAAUCAUCAAGAAUUGAUUAGAUCUGAUUUAAUUACUACAGGUAAUCACCUAUAAGUAAAGUCCUAAAAAACAUGUCUUGCCUAAGAGGAAAUAAAUCAGAUGCAAGCAUCAGCUCAUCCUAGUCACUGGUAGGCAGCCAGCAAGAGUUAAUAAAUGCCAGGAUGAGCAUGUAAGUAUAAACUGGUAAUGGGGAGGCAGGCAAAUGAAAGAGCAAGGGCCGCAACCUGAAGACUUUUUUUUAACCUCAUAACUUUGCCUAGAAUCAGCUCAAUUGCCAGGCUCUAGAUCUGUUCUCCACCUGGGACAAAGGUGAAAAGCUUUACUCUCUGAGGGCAACAUGCUUGUUUGGGAAAGAACUUGAAGUAGUCUACUACACAGGCUUAAUGGGAACCUUUUGCAGUCUGGUUGAAUCUUCCAAGUACAACGAUCUUUGUUCAGAUGUAUCUUCUCUCUUCCAGUUUCAGCCCACAUAUGUUUAAAAUAAAAUACAUGCCUCAUGGUUGCUGGUGAUAAAA
This 541-nucleotide long non-coding RNA is filed under the name Bos indicus x Bos taurus (hybrid cattle). RNAcentral's name for it is "lncRNA (ENSBIXG00005020025.1)". The record is from RNAcentral. Lineage: Eukaryota; Metazoa; Chordata; Mammalia; Artiodactyla; Bovidae.